GUGCAGGAGGAAGACAGGUGAAGAGGAGGGCGCGUGGGACGCCGCUGCCAGACACCGUGACCCUGCUCCUGCCAAGAUACUGCUGCAGCCAAUGCCGGGCAGCUUCAGCAGUGCCAUGGUUUUGUCCCUCUCUCCCUCUACUCUUCUUCCUGGUUGGUUCCCCUCUCUCUCUCUCUCUCUCUCUCUCUCUCUCUCUCUCUCCCCGAUCGAGAAGGACAAGGUAUUUAAACGAGUAAGAUAAGGUGCGAGAGGAGGAGGAUGGGGUCGAUGGAUGGCCUCUUGGGUGCGCGAGGAGAGGGGUAGCGAGCGAGAGACUAGUGAGGAGGGAGAGAGGGGGGGUCUCGACUCUCGACCGGCUUAGCUCUUCGGCGGCGUGGAGAGUCAGUCUCAGUCGCUGCCGUGGAGGGUGGAGCCUAGCUAGCUAGCUACCAAGAAAUGGCGGGAUAUAUAUGUAGUGUCAUGCGUGCGCGCGCUUUAUGCUUAUCUUAUUCCAAGUGGAUCUCUCUGGGGCUGAGUACGCCGCCGAUUGGAUCGCCGGGAAGGAAGCUCUGGGAUCCGCUGGCCGGUACUUGCUUGGCUGUUCCUUGGUCAUCGCUCUCCGCCAACGGAUUCCAUGCAUAUUGCUAACCGUCCUCCUUCAGCGGCGGCACAUUUCCACGUGCGGUGCGCUUCGCAUCGGCCUGCCGAAAUGAAAUCCAGGUGGCUUUUAUCCUGGAUUUACUCUGAAUCUCAAGAUGCCGGGUCAGUUUGUUCGUUGAAUGGUCAGUCGGAGAACGUUCCCAGAGAAAUACUGGUACAACGAAAGCGCCCUUCUCAGCUAGCUCGAGCUCAUAUGGGCUCGAGUGGACAGUAAAAUCAGAAAACAUAUUCAAAAAAUUCUGAUUCUUUUUUUGCGGCAACAUUUGAACAUUUGACAAAUGUCUUCAAUGCUGGCAAGUUUUCAUCGCGAAAUAACGUUCGUGGAGGCUGUGGCAGAAAUAAAACAAAACCAACAUUCUAAAAUAGCAUUUUUGGAGCAUCUCUUUUCUUUUUUUAUUUUUUGCCACGAUUUACAUGAAUGUCAUUUUACGAUGAAAUUUUGCAGGCAUUUAAAACAUUUGUCAAAUGUUGCCACAAAGAAAAAUCAGAAUUUUUUGAUAUUUUUUCUUUUGAUUUUACUGUUCACCCGAACUCAUAUGGGCUCGAGCUCAGUUUAUCCACUUCCCUUCUAAUAAGUCUGUUUAUUAUAUAUAUUUUACCGAGUGAUAAAUUUGGGUGGCCGGUUAAGGUCUCUACAUUUCUUGCACGCACUAUUGACGGGGAAACAUCCGAUGAUACCAUGUCACAAAAUUCAAAUUUACGUGUUACAGAAAAUUCUGCAAAAAUUCUCAAUGUUGACAAGACAGAUGUCUGCUAUCCCUAAAGAAUUCAGAUUCACAAUCGAAAUACACAUUGAGAAAUGAAAAAGACAAAUCCAGCAUGAAUAGUGUCAUAGAAAGACAAAUGCAAACAUGACACUGUUCACAUGUGGAUUUGACUUUCGAUCUGAAUUUUUUUUAGGGAUUGCAGACAUUGGACAAUUUUUUUUCAGAUUUUUUUGACACAUCAAAAUUUAAGUUUUGAAACAUGGUAUCAUGUGAUAUCUUCCCCACUAUCAUUUCAAAAAUAUCUUCCCCACUAUUGAUCUAUCGUACAAGCAAAGGCAGAUUACCGCACGCUGAUGGAAAAAACAUGUGCCAAGCUCUACUACUCUGUCGUUGCAUUAUUGCUUCUGCAACAGAGAUGUGGUGAUGGCAUUCGUUGGCUGCCAAGCCGAACAUGCGCAUUCUACCUUUGUUUUUUUAAAACCAUACUAUUAUAUGCCAGCAGUUUACCAUUUUAAAUUUGAUAAGAGUGCAUUAUUUUUAUAAUACUAGGUAAACUUGUUGACUAGUACAAUUUGCAUGUGCAGUUUCGGGUACCCAGAGCCUGUCUCCUAUAGACUAUGGUUUCAAAGAACCUAAUUAAAGCGGUAAACCACUGGAAGAAAAGGAAUAUUGAACAGCAGAAGCAGCAGUGUCAACCCCAAGAGGGCGGCUCUUGGCACCAAUCAAAGAUGAAGCCACUGUUGGCUGCUGUACCACCCCGACCCAGUAAACAAGUCCACAAGUCGUCCACGUCCCGUUUACAUCGUACCCCGGCG
This 2161-nucleotide long non-coding RNA is filed under the name Triticum aestivum (bread wheat). RNAcentral's name for it is "long non-coding RNA (TAES_LNC004003)". Lineage: Eukaryota; Viridiplantae; Streptophyta; Magnoliopsida; Poales; Poaceae. The record is from RNAcentral.